This 253-nucleotide ribosomal RNA is filed under the name uncultured bacterium. RNAcentral's name for it is "partial 16S ribosomal RNA". It matches the Rfam family "Bacterial small subunit ribosomal RNA", at positions 524 to 776 of the family's 1533-position model. The record is from RNAcentral.
UACGAAGGGGGCUAGCGUUGUUCGGAAUAACUGGGCGUAAAGCGCACGUCGGCGGAUCUGUAAGUCAGGGGUGAAAUCCCGGGGCUCAACCUCGGAACUGCCUUUGAUACUGCAAGUCUAGAGUCCGGAAGAGGUGAGUGGAAUUCCUAGUGUAGAGGUGAAAUUCGUAGAUAUUAGGAAGAACACCAGUGGCGAAGGCGGCUCACUGGUCCGGAACUGACGCUGAGGUGCGAAAGCGUGGGGAGCAAACAGG